This 378-nucleotide ribosomal RNA is filed under the name Triticum aestivum (bread wheat). RNAcentral describes it as "partial small subunit ribosomal RNA". The record is from RNAcentral. Lineage: Eukaryota; Viridiplantae; Streptophyta; Magnoliopsida; Poales; Poaceae.
AUGCCCACCAAUCAUGUUUGCUCCGUUGUGUCAGGGGAUGUAGUACAUUGGGUUGGGGAGCUUGAAGGAACGGGCGCUCAUGGAGUAGCCCAGCAGGUCGCUCCACUGGUCGCCCGAGUUGCCCAGGAUCUUGUACCCCUCCGCCUCCAUCUCCUUCCUCUUCUCCGACUUGUAGUCCGUCGCCGUUUUCUCCCGGUCAGCUGCUGCCCUGGACAUCAUCACAGAGGGCAGGUUUCAGAAUCCCAUUAUGUAGAAAUGAGGAACACUAGUUGGCAGAGGACUACAACAAGAUUAGUGGCUGUGAAAAUUCAGCACCGCAGCAAGACUAUUUCACCCCUGUUCUCAGGUUGUGAGACUGCCAUGUUGGAAUUUGGAUGA